CCUACGGGGGGCUGCAGUGGGGAAUAUUGGACAAUGGGGGCAACCCUGAUCCAGCCAUGCCGCGUGUGUGAAGAAGGCCCUCGGGUUGUAAAGCACUUUCAGUGAGGAAGAACGCCUGGUGGUUAAUACCCAUCAGGAAAGACAUCACUCACAGAAGAAGCACCGGCUAACUCCGUGCCAGCAGCCGCGGUAAUACAGAGGGUGCGAGCGUUAAUCGGAAUUACUGGGCGUAAAGCGCGCGUAGGUGGCUUGAUAAGCCGGUUGUGAAAGCCCCGGGCUCAACCUGGGAACGGCAUCCGGAACUGUCAAGCUAGAGUGCAGGAGAGGAAGGUAGAAUUCCCGGUGUAGCGGUGAAAUGCGUAGAGAUCGGGAGGAAUACCAGUGGCGAAGGCGGCCUUCUGGACUGACACUGACACUGAGGUGCGAAAGCGUGGGUAGCAAACAGGAUUAGAUACCCUAGUAGUC
This 465-nucleotide ribosomal RNA is filed under the name Vreelandella stevensii. RNAcentral describes it as "partial 16S ribosomal RNA". It matches the Rfam family "Bacterial small subunit ribosomal RNA", at positions 338 to 795 of the family's 1533-position model. The record is from RNAcentral. Lineage: Bacteria; Pseudomonadati; Pseudomonadota; Gammaproteobacteria; Oceanospirillales; Halomonadaceae.